RNAcentral lists this long non-coding RNA (478 nucleotides) under Hordeum vulgare. RNAcentral's name for it is "long non-coding RNA (HVUL_LNC002131)". The record is from RNAcentral. Lineage: Eukaryota; Viridiplantae; Streptophyta; Magnoliopsida; Poales; Poaceae.
CGCCUCUGGGCGUGUACUAUCGUUGGAUUGACACGAAAAUACUGGACUGGACGGUGACUGAAAUUCGUGAAAGAGGUUAUCGUGCAUGGGAAAGUUUGUAUGCUGAAGAGCGCCGCUAGAAGGCGGCAACAGAGGAGAAAGCAGAGCAAGAGAGAGAGUGGAAGAGUACUGUGCGAAGCAGACAUGUUUUAUUGAUGAGAUGCGGAAGAAAAACCAGGAAGAGGUACUUCGACUAGUGGAGGUGCAACGACAGCGACAAGAGGCCCAUGAGGCUGAGAGACAGAGAAAGAAAGAAAGGGUUCAUGCGGCCAAGGCAGCAGAAGAAGCUAGUGAUUGAAAAGGAAAAUAUCCACGUUGGACUCAGUAGAUUUAUGUUAUUGUAAAAUACGCAUCGCAACAAGUUGUAUCUUAAAAUUUGCAGCAAGUUGUAUCUUAAUUUUAGCAAGUUGUAUCUUAAUUUGAACUUGUUAAUUUUUCC